AGCUUUGCGCAGUGGCAGUAUCGUAGCCAAUGAGGUUUAGACGAGGCGCAAUUAUUGCUAAUUGAAAAAACCAAUGAUGUAAUGUAUGGUGAUUAACAUAAUAA
This 104-nucleotide small nuclear RNA is filed under the name Zalophus californianus (California sea lion). RNAcentral's name for it is "U4 spliceosomal RNA (ENSZCAG00015005090.1)". It matches the Rfam family "U4 spliceosomal RNA". Rfam says of the family: U4 small nuclear RNA (U4 snRNA) is a component of the major U2-dependent spliceosome. The structure of U4 snRNA from yeast and human has been reported. The record is from RNAcentral. Lineage: Eukaryota; Metazoa; Chordata; Mammalia; Carnivora; Otariidae.